AAAAAAAAAAACCCGGAAAA
This 20-nucleotide ribosomal RNA is filed under the name Hemiphaedusa koshikijimana. RNAcentral's name for it is "partial 5.8S rRNA". The record is from RNAcentral. Lineage: Eukaryota; Metazoa; Mollusca; Gastropoda; Stylommatophora; Clausiliidae.